RNAcentral lists this ribosomal RNA (1241 nucleotides) under metagenome. RNAcentral describes it as "bacterial LSU rRNA". It matches the Rfam family "Bacterial large subunit ribosomal RNA", at positions 1564 to 2815 of the family's 2925-position model. The record is from RNAcentral.
UGAAUACGAGACGCUAAGGCGUCGAAGUAGUGUAUGUCAUACUUCCAAGAAAAGCUUGCACUGUCAUAAGUAAAAAAUGCCUGUACCAUAACCGACACAGGUGGGUAGGUAGAGUAUACUAAGGGGCGCGAGAUAACUCUCUCUAAGGAACUCGGCAAAAUAACUCCGUAACUUCGGGAGAAGGAGUACCUUAUUCUAUAAGGUUGCAAUAACAAGAUCCAAGCAACUGUUUAUCAAAAACACAGGUCUCCGCUAAGUCGUAAGACGAUGUAUGGGGGCUGACGCCCGCCCAGUGCCAGAAGGUUAAAGAAGUCGGUUAGCAUUAGCGAAGCUGGUAACUGAAGCCCUGGUGAACGGCGGCCGUACGAUAACGGUCCUAAGGUAGCGAAAUUCCUUGUCGGGUAAGUUCCGACCCGCACGAAAGGCGUAAUGAUUUGGAUACUGUCUCGGAGAGGGGCUCGGUGAAAUAGACUUGUCUGUGAAGAUGCGGACUACCUGCACCAGGACGGAAAGACCCUAUGAAGCUUUACUGUAACUUAAAAUUGAAAUUGGACUUUAUUCGCGCAGUAUAGGUGGGAGGUGUUGAUUAUAAUCUUGCGGGAUUAUUGGAGCCAUCAGUGAGAUACCACUCUUGUAAUGUUAGAUUUCUAACUUUGUAUCAUUAUCUGGUCAAAGGACAGUUUCAGGCGGGCAGUUUGACUGGGGCGGUCGCCUCCCAAACGGUAACGGAGGCGUACAAAGGUUUCCUCUGAACGGGUAGAAAUCGUAUCUAGAGUGUAAAGGCAUAAGGAAGCUUGACUGUGAGACCUACAAGUCGAACAGGGACGAAAGUCGGUCUUAGUGAUCUGACGGUACUGAGUGGAAAGGCCGUCACUCAACGGAUAAAAGUUACUCUAGGAUAACAGGCUGAUCUCCCCCAAGAGUUCACAUCGACGGGGAGGUUUGGCACCUCGAUGUCGGCUCAUCGCAUCCUGGGGCGGUAGUACGUCCCAAGGGUUGGGCUGUUCGCCCAUGAAAGCGGUACGCGAGCUGGGUUCAGAACGUCGUGAGACAGUUCGGUCCAUAUCCGGUGUAGGCGUUAGAAUAUUGAGAGGAGCCUUCUUUAGUACGAGAGGACCGAGAAGGACAUACCUCUGGUGUACCAGUUAUCGUGCCAACGGUAAACGCUGGGUAGCUAUGUAUGGAGUGGAUAACCGCUGAAAGCAUCUAAGUGGGAAGCCCACCUCAAGAUAAGUAUUCCC